Molecule: ribosomal RNA, 463 nt
Filed under: Protosuberites sp. UPDM SZN-HL140
Lineage: Eukaryota; Metazoa; Porifera; Demospongiae; Suberitida; Suberitidae
Description: partial large subunit ribosomal RNA
Rfam family: Eukaryotic large subunit ribosomal RNA
Source: RNAcentral
UGAAAAGAAACUUGGAGAGAGAGUCAAAAAGACCGCGAAACCGUUAGGAGGGAAACGAAUGCAGCUGAAUUAGCUCUGCUCAAGUUCAGGAGCGAUGUUGAUUGGUGAUGCCAGCGUGCAAAAGCCGAUAGGUUUUGUCGUCUGGAUAGCCGCCAACUCCUCUGCACUCUUGUGCAAGCUGGCCAACAACAGUUACUCGUGGCUGAGAAGGGCAGUUGGGUAGGUGGUUACCUCUCGCAGGUAAACCUUAUAGCCAUCAGUCUGGUAGUCUGCGGGUGACUGAGGAUAACCUGGCAGUGCAGGCCUCGUGCCUUGGGCCGCUUCUGGUCGUUUGGGCACCGCGGCAGGGACUGCGUGCAGUGUCUGUUGACGGCUGUCUGCUCGGACGGGAGACCGGUCACACCUUGCGCUGUAGUUGUUGGUGAUCAAAUGGCUGCAUCCGACCCGUCUUGAAAACACGGAA